UACAGGGGGUGCAAACGUUGCUCGGAAUCAUUGGGCGUAAAGCGCACGUAGGCGGUUCGUUAUGUCGGAUGUGAAAGCCCUUGGCUUAACCGAGGAAGUGCAUCCGAAACUGGCGAGCUAGAGUACUAAAGAGGAUCGCGGAAUUCCCGGUGUAGAGGUGAAAUUCGUAGAUAUCGGGAGGAACACCGGUGGCGAAGGCGGCGAUCUGGGUAGAUACUGACGCUGAGGUGCGAAAGCGCGGGGAGCAAACAGG
This 253-nucleotide ribosomal RNA is filed under the name uncultured bacterium. Its description in RNAcentral is "partial 16S ribosomal RNA". It matches the Rfam family "Bacterial small subunit ribosomal RNA", at positions 524 to 776 of the family's 1533-position model. The record is from RNAcentral.